Molecule: long non-coding RNA, 220 nt
Filed under: Vigna radiata
Lineage: Eukaryota; Viridiplantae; Streptophyta; Magnoliopsida; Fabales; Fabaceae
Description: long non-coding RNA (VRAD_LNC006389)
Source: RNAcentral
AUCACCUUUAUUUUGCAUGUUAAUAUUUUUGUUCUCAAAUCCAAUUUAUUAAUUUUAAUUUUCAAGUCUUAUUAUUUUAAUUCACGCGAAAGAGAAAUCCAUUCGAGUCUCUUGGGAAAACGAUACUUGGUCUUACCAUUUAUAUUACUUGUACGAUUUGGUACACUUGCCAAUUUGUCAACAUGUUCGAGAAUUAGGUGUAACACGAAGUGGGGGGGGG